UAGGACAAUGGAGGCACAGAAACACAAAGG
Molecule: non-coding RNA, 30 nt
Filed under: Rattus norvegicus (Norway rat)
Lineage: Eukaryota; Metazoa; Chordata; Mammalia; Rodentia; Muridae
Source: RNAcentral